Molecule: long non-coding RNA, 1058 nt
Organism: Carassius auratus (goldfish)
Lineage: Eukaryota; Metazoa; Chordata; Actinopteri; Cypriniformes; Cyprinidae
Exons: 3
Source: RefSeq, a predicted model, not a curated record
AGGAAUUCUGAAGAAUUACGGCUGUACCCCUGGAACAAGUCUUUAUGUCGAAACUCGAUGGCUACACGCCGAAACUCUUGGAGCUUUUAGAAGCUAAGGGAGGUGCUGCAGGAGUCAGGAUACAGUCAACACUCAGUGCGUUGACUCCGUGCAAUACCAUUGAAAAACGACGGGAUGGUGUGAUCCGCAGUCUCAUUGAAUAUCUUGGAUGGCACUGAAGAAGACUUCACAGAAGAUGUCAUGAUGAUUCUUGUCCAUGGAAACCGAAAUGGAGAGCCAGUGGUUUCCAUUGUUCUUGAAGGAAGCAAGGUUCUAAGUAAAUGUGAAAAUACUGCUAAAGCUUGUGCUCUCCUGAUGGGACUGAUUUAGGCCUUGAAUCUACAGUAUCCCUCAAAGCUCAAGUAGACUUUUGAGGUUUUUCAGAAGCUGUUUCUGGAUCUGGAUGGACUUAAGAUCUCUCCUAAAGUUCGGUCUUUGAAAAACAAGCUGCUUUCUUGACAAGUUUCCGUACUCUGGAUGUACUUAGGUGUUUAACUGCCUUUUUGACUCACUUAUUUUGGUUUAAUAUUUGAAUUUGAGAACUGUACCCUCAAUAAACACACAAAAUGUUAAUUGUAUUUCCAUUUCCAUUAACAUUUGUAUUAGUUGCAUGCACUAUUCUUAUGUUGUAUUACAACAACAGAGUUGAUAAUGUGGGUUACCCUCAUUUGAUAAAACUGUUUUGAAAAAAUAAUUUCUUGAAUUUCUGUUUCAGGUUUUUUAUUAGUUUAAAAACUUUUCCAAAGUCGUUUGGCCAAGGAGUUUUCUUGUUUGUGGGGUGGGGUCAGGGGCUUAGUUAACAGGUUUUAUUUAACUGCAAUCUGUUAGUUAUGUUUUGAUACAGAGAUUAAGAAGCUGUCAUAUCUAUGCAUAGAACUGCUAAUGUUGGAGUUGUAAUGUGUUUAAUAUGCCAUUGAAGAUGGAUAUUUACUGUUGCUUAAGCUGUUUAAAGAUUUUAAAGUGAUCUUAAGCAUCAUAUAUUUCUGUGUGCUGGCUAUUUCUUGCAUUAUUUGUUCCUA